Molecule: ribosomal RNA, 2908 nt
Filed under: Enterobacter roggenkampii
Lineage: Bacteria; Pseudomonadati; Pseudomonadota; Gammaproteobacteria; Enterobacterales; Enterobacteriaceae
Description: 23S ribosomal RNA
Rfam family: Bacterial large subunit ribosomal RNA
Source: RNAcentral
UUAAGCGACUAAGCGUACACGGUGGAUGCCCUGGCAGUCAGAGGCGAUGAAGGACGUGCUAAUCUGCGAAAAGCGCCGGCGAGGUGAUAUGAACCUUUGACCCGGCGAUGUCCGAAUGGGGAAACCCAGUGCAAUUCGUUGCACUAUCGUUAACUGAAUACAUAGGUUAACGAGGCGAACCGGGGGGAACUGAAACAUCUAAGUACCCCGAGGAAAAGAAAUCAACCGAGAUUCCCCCCAGUAGCGGCGAGCGAACGGGGAGCAGCCCAGAGUCUGAAUCAGCUUGUGUGUUAGUGGAAGCGUCUGGAAAGUCGCACGGUACAGGGUGACAGUCCCGUACACGAAAGCACACAGGUUGUGAACUCGAAGAGUAGGGCGGGACACGUGGUAUCCUGUCUGAAUAUGGGGGGACCAUCCUCCAAGGCUAAAUACUCCUGACUGACCGAUAGUGAACCAGUACCGUGAGGGAAAGGCGAAAAGAACCCCGGCGAGGGGAGUGAAACAGAACCUGAAACCGUGUACGUACAAGCAGUGGGAGCACCUUCGUGGUGUGACUGCGUACCUUUUGUAUAAUGGGUCAGCGACUUAUAUUCUGUAGCAAGGUUAACCGUAUAGGGGAGCCGAAGGGAAACCGAGUCUUAACUGGGCGUUAAGUUGCAGGGUAUAGACCCGAAACCCGGUGAUCUAGCCAUGGGCAGGUUGAAGGUUGGGUAACACUAACUGGAGGACCGAACCGACUAAUGUUGAAAAAAUUAGCGGAUGACUUGUGGCUGGGGGGUGAAAGGCCAAUCAAACCGGGAGAUAGCUGGUUCUCCCCGAAAGCUAUUUAGGUAGCGCCUCGUGAACUCAUCUUCGGGGGGUAGAGCACUGUUUCGGCUAGGGGGGCCAUCCCGGCUUACCAACCCGAUGCAAACUACGAAUACCGAAGAAUGUUAUCACGGGAGACACACGGCGGGUGCUAACGUCCGUCGUGAAGAGGGAAACAACCCAGACCGCCAGCUAAGGUCCCAAAGUCAUGGUUAAGUGGGAAACGAUGUGGGAAGGCACAGACAGCCGGGAUGUUGGCUUAGAAGCAGCCAUCAUUUAAAGAAAGCGUAAUAGCUCACUGGUCGAGUCGGCCUGCGCGGAAGAUGUAACGGGGCUAAACCAUGCACCGAAGCUGCGGCAGCGACACUAUGUGUUGUUGGGUAGGGGAGCGUUCUGUAAGCCGUUGAAGGUGGCCUGUGAGGGUUGCUGGAGGUAUCAGAAGUGCGAAUGCUGACAUAAGUAACGAUAAAGCGGGUGAAAAGCCCGCUCGCCGGAAGACCAAGGGUUCCUGUCCAACGUUAAUCGGGGCAGGGUGAGUCGACCCCUAAGGCGAGGCCGAAAGGCGUAGUCGAUGGGAAACAGGUUAAUAUUCCUGUACUUGGUGUUACUGCGAAGGGGGGACGGAGAAGGCUAUGUUAGCCGGGCGACGGUUGUCCCGGUUUAAGCAUGUAGGCGGAGGUUCCAGGUAAAUCCGGUACCUUUUAACGCUGAGGUGUGAUGACGAGGCACUACGGUGCUGAAGUAACAAAUGCCCUGCUUCCAGGAAAAGCCUCUAAGCAUCAGGUAACAUCAAAUCGUACCCCAAACCGACACAGGUGGUCAGGUAGAGAAUACCAAGGCGCUUGAGAGAACUCGGGUGAAGGAACUAGGCAAAAUGGUGCCGUAACUUCGGGAGAAGGCACGCUGAUAUGUAGGUGAAGCCCCUGCGGGUGGAGCUGAAAUCAGUCGAAGAUACCAGCUGGCUGCAACUGUUUAUUAAAAACACAGCACUGUGCAAACACGAAAGUGGACGUAUACGGUGUGACGCCUGCCCGGUGCCGGAAGGUUAAUUGAUGGGGUUAGCGGUAACGCGAAGCUCUUGAUCGAAGCCCCGGUAAACGGCGGCCGUAACUAUAACGGUCCUAAGGUAGCGAAAUUCCUUGUCGGGUAAGUUCCGACCUGCACGAAUGGCGUAAUGAUGGCCAGGCUGUCUCCACCCGAGACUCAGUGAAAUUGAACUCGCUGUGAAGAUGCAGUGUACCCGCGGCAAGACGGAAAGACCCCGUGAACCUUUACUAUAGCUUGACACUGAACACUGGUCCUUGAUGUGUAGGAUAGGUGGGAGGCUUUGAAGUGUGGACGCCAGUCUGCAUGGAGCCGUCCUUGAAAUACCACCCUUUAAUGGCUGGUGUUCUAACGUAGACCCGUGAUCCGGGUUGCGGACAGUGUCUGGUGGGUAGUUUGACUGGGGCGGUCUCCUCCCAAAGAGUAACGGAGGAGCACGAAGGUUAGCUAAUCCUGGUCGGACAUCAGGAGGUUAGUGCAAUGGCAUAAGCUAGCUUGACUGCGAGAGUGACGGCUCGAGCAGGUGCGAAAGCAGGUCAUAGUGAUCCGGUGGUUCUGAAUGGAAGGGCCAUCGCUCAACGGAUAAAAGGUACUCCGGGGAUAACAGGCUGAUACCGCCCAAGAGUUCAUAUCGACGGCGGUGUUUGGCACCUCGAUGUCGGCUCAUCACAUCCUGGGGCUGAAGUAGGUCCCAAGGGUAUGGCUGUUCGCCAUUUAAAGUGGUACGCGAGCUGGGUUUAGAACGUCGUGAGACAGUUCGGUCCCUAUUCUGCCGUGGGCGCUGGAGAAUUGAGGGGGGCUGCUCCUAGUACGAGAGGACCGGAGUGGACGCAUCACUGGUGUUCGGGUUGUCAUGCCAAUGGCACUGCCCGGUAGCUAAAUGCGGAAAAGAUAAGUGCUGAAAGCAUCUAAGCACGAAACUUGCCCCGAGAUGAGUUCUCCCUGAGACUUUAAGUCUCCUGAAGGAACGUUGAAGACGACGACGUUGAUAGGUCGGGUGUGUAAGCGCAGCGAUGCGUUGAGCUAACCGAUACUAAUGAACCGUGAGGCUUAACCU